This 2117-nucleotide long non-coding RNA is filed under the name Malus domestica (apple). RNAcentral's name for it is "long non-coding RNA (MDOM_LNC019847)". The record is from RNAcentral. Lineage: Eukaryota; Viridiplantae; Streptophyta; Magnoliopsida; Rosales; Rosaceae.
CGAUUAGGUGAAACUCAUUUAUAUUCUAGCAUCUAAUUCAUGCAUGAAAACUAAGUAUGCAUCCUUAAUAAACAAACAAGAAUCAAUUAUGAAUAAAAUAGAUAAUUGAAUUGCAAUCACAACUUAUCAAAUCACAAUUGGAAGAAAUCAAUUCAAAUCUCAAGCAUGUUCAUGGCUUCAAACUUCCCCCUAACUAAAUAGGGGUUUAGCCACUCAUAAUUGCAACAAAAUUAGAAAAUAACAAAAUAGACAUUGAAAACAAGAACGAAGUACACCUAAAACGCUCCAAAGUUCUAAGCUUGAAACGUCAAGGACCUUUGUUUUCACCACCUUGUUGUAGCACAAGUGUCUAGGAUGUGUAUGGAUAUAUGGAUGGAAUGGAUUUGCAUAGCUAAGAGAUGAAAGUGUAUGGAUUGGUGAGAUGUAGUAUGGCUAGAUGAAUGGAUGAAGGUCAUGGCAAGGAAAUUGUGUUUGUGAAUGAAGCUCUUUUGAUGGAUCAAGAUCUUUUUUUUAGGAAAGGGAAUGGUGGAUGUAUUUAUAGGCUAAGGAGAUGACCACUUCAAUUCCUUGCAUGUGCAGUUUGUAUGGGUGUGUGAUGUCCAUGUUUCCCUUUACAUUUGCACACACAUGACCUCCAUCAUUUCAGCCACAAAUCAACCCAUUUUCUGCCCAUGUGUGUGUCUUUCCUUUGCCCAUGUGUGUGUGUUUCCUUUUGAAGGAAAAAAUUUGUCCUAGCUAAGAACAUGUGAGAAUAUUUGAACACAUAUGCAAACUGUUAACACAUUAAAGUAGGCAUGCAUUAAAAACAAUUCUAAAACCCAUGACUUUCAAAGCCUAGUGAAUGGUGAACCAUAAGACUCUUUAACAACAUUAAAGAGAAGGUAAGAUUUAGAGAUUUAUUACCCUUGAAGCUCAUCCUUGUUUACACAAGGGAUUCACCCAAGUGGAGGGCCUUCAAGUCACCUCCUAGCUCCUUGGAUCUUCCUUGUGAUUUCCUUCCCUUUUUGUCCUCCUUUGCUCCUUGAGGAUGUAAGGAAAGGAUCUCUAAAAAAAACACCAAAGGUUUGGUGUCUCUAAGUCUCCACACCAAGGAUGAGGUGUGAAGAUGAAAUGGAUGACUUAGAGAAGAAAAGAUUGCUAGCUAUUUCUUCACUAUGUGGCCGGCCUCCUUGUAGAAAAAGAGAGAAUAAUGUUUCACCUCUUUGCCUCAAAGAAAACCCUAAUGAGAAAAUAGCUAUAAAGUUAACUUUAUACUACAUCACAUUUGAGUGGCAAACUUGUAAUUAAUUCAAGUUUGCAUCCACUCACCCUUAUGCCCGGCCUUGUCUUUGUUAUUGGGCUAAUUGACCAUUUUGUUUUAGUUGUCAUACAACUUAAACAUAAUGGGCUUUGUGGACCAAAACACUUUUGGGUCCCGAAACCCAAAACCAACUUAGAAGCCCAAUACGAACCUUUCGUAAAAUUAAUUAACUAAUUAAUUAAUCUUGACCAUUUUCAAUUAAACCAUUUAAUUGCAUAUCCAUUUCAUUUAUAUUUUUUCACUUUCAUCCUUACUCGGUGUACGAUCCAUUAGGUUCCAAUUAGCGAGGCAGUGGGCGAUUGUUACUCUUAACGAUCGAUUAUGAAUUGAAACUACAUUUCAAUUCUCCCUUUGAUUAAGAUUAGUGUUUGCUAAUCUUCAGGGCUUCCACAAACCAUGAGUGACACCUAGCAGCAUGUCAUGGUUACCCAAGCUAAGUAGAAGUGAUUGGAGAACCUAUCCAGUUACAACUACAACGCAAUACGGUCAUUCUCUAAUACAAUACUCUUAAUCACAUUGUUUGAGUGAUAGUUUGUUUCAUGUCUACUAUCCAAUGUGAUGCUUCUUUAUAUGAUUCAAUUGAAUAUGAUUUGGAACAUACUUCCUAAGUCAUAUUCGUAUGCUUUGGCCAAAGACUCCCGAAUCAUAUCUUAGAGUAUUCUCCUUCCACCAUGGAAGGUUAGAGAUCCCUUGUUGUGCAUUCAUAUGCCUACAUGACUUGAUAGCUUGACCCCAACAAUGCCAUGGACACUCUCAAUGGAAUGCCUUUGACAUGAUCAAAGAUCAAGGACCUAACCAUUAGACAUCUAUGAUGCCU